RNAcentral lists this unclassified non-coding RNA (145 nucleotides) under soil metagenome. RNAcentral's name for it is "partial internal transcribed spacer 1". The record is from RNAcentral.
UAAUCAAGUGUUUUAUGGCACUUUUCAAAUCCAUAUCCACCUUGUGUGCAAUGUCAGUCGAUCUUCUUCAUGGAGAUUGACCAAACAUCAACCUUUAUUUUUAACUCUUUGUCUUAAAAAUAUUAUGAAUAAACAAUUCAAAAUA